UGCCAUUGCGACAAAAAAUAACAUUGUAAAAUGUGCACAGAUAUUUAAUUAACUGGACAUAAAAAUAAGAAAACAUCAAAGCUGUAAAUUUUUAUUAGUGCUUAAUGUGAGAUUCUACGAUAAAAUACGUUUAGAUCUUAGCAAAAGAUUUUGGCGAUAUCUAUUGAAUUAAUUUUAAAUUGUUCACAGGGUCGAAAAGGACUGGUCUUCAAAGAAGCCAAGAGACACAAUUUUAGAUGGACACUCUGUACUUCCAACACAAUCUAUCUAUCUGUGAUGAGAAUGCUCAAUCAUAUUAUCAAAUUAGAUUAGAUGAUGGAAUCAAUUUCGUUGGGGUGGAGAAUCCAUACAAGAUGAUCCAAAGUCUGGUAGUCCUCUUGAGGUCGAAGAAAUGAAGUUUCAUUGCUGCAAGGGAAGUGCACAGAUACGCCGAUGAACAAAGUGUCCGCCAGAUGGAUUGGCAAGCUCUUCACACCAGAAUAGCCACCUGUCAGAAAUUGGGAGGAUUUAAAACAAGCAGGAAAAUUGAUGGCAACGAUUUUCUGGGAUUAAUUAUACUGUCUUUAUUUGGGCAUUUUACGGAGGAACAACUGAUGAAACAAAAAACAAAUUUUAUAGGCAGACGAUAAAUACGCAAGAUCUAGUCAUUUCUUACCGAUUUGGAAGGUUAAACAGGGUCAAUAAUGCCGUUUCCGUGAUAACAGCUACACUUUUACCUUAUAACAAUAGAAC
This is a long non-coding RNA of Photinus pyralis (common eastern firefly), 732 nucleotides long. RefSeq lists it as uncharacterized. NCBI's taxonomy places the organism in Eukaryota, Metazoa, Arthropoda, Insecta, Coleoptera, Lampyridae. The record is from RefSeq and is a predicted model, not a curated record. The transcript has 5 exons.